CGCGGGAUGGGGUAGCCUGGUAGCUCGUGGGGCUCAUAACCCGAAGGUCGUCGGUUCGUUUUCUAUUUAAAGUAAGCGGCUCCCGCAACCA
RNAcentral lists this transfer RNA (91 nucleotides) under Marinomonas mediterranea. RNAcentral's name for it is "tRNA-Met". Lineage: Bacteria; Pseudomonadati; Pseudomonadota; Gammaproteobacteria; Oceanospirillales; Oceanospirillaceae. The record is from RNAcentral. RNAcentral also lists the same sequence under 1 other name.